UGGGGAAUAUUGCGCAAUGGGGGGGACCCUGACGCAGCCAUGCCGCGUGAAUGAAGAAGGCCUUAGGGUUGUAAAGUUCUUUCGGUAUUGAGGAAGGUUGAUGUGUUAAUAGCACAUCAAAUUGACGUUAAAUACAGAAGAAGCACCGGCUAACUCCGUGCCAGCAGCCGCGGUAAUACGGAGGGUGCGAGCGUUAAUCGGGAUAACUGGGCGUAAAGGGCACGCAGGCGGUUAUUUAAGUGAGGUGUGAAAGCCCCGGGCUUAACCUGGGAAUUGCAUUUCAGACUGGGUAACUAGAGUACUUUAGGGAGGGGUAGAAUUCCACGUGUAGCGGUGAAAUGCGUAGAGAUGUGGAGGAAUACCGAAGGCGAAGGCAGCCCCUUGGGAAUGUACUGACGCUCAUGUGCGAAAGCGUGGGGAGCAAACAGGAUUAGAUACCCUGGUAGUCCACGCUGUAAACGCUGUCGAUUUGGGGGUUGGGGUUUAACUCUGGCGCCCGUAGCUAACGUGAUAAAUCGACCGCCUGGGGAGUACGGCCGCAAGGUUA
This 547-nucleotide ribosomal RNA is filed under the name uncultured bacterium. RNAcentral's name for it is "bacterial SSU rRNA". It matches the Rfam family "Bacterial small subunit ribosomal RNA", at positions 355 to 896 of the family's 1533-position model. The record is from RNAcentral.